This 989-nucleotide ribosomal RNA is filed under the name Corollospora maritima. RNAcentral's name for it is "eukaryotic LSU rRNA". It matches the Rfam family "Eukaryotic large subunit ribosomal RNA", at positions 71 to 1088 of the family's 3401-position model. The record is from RNAcentral. Lineage: Eukaryota; Fungi; Ascomycota; Sordariomycetes; Microascales; Halosphaeriaceae.
GGGAUUGCCCCAGUAACGGCGAGUGAAGCGGCAACAGCUCAAAUUUGAAAUCUGGCCCCCUAGGGGGUCCGAGUUGUAAUUUGCAGAGGAUGCUUUUGGCGAGGCGCCGGCCGAGUGCCCUGGAAUGGGACGCCGUAGAGGGUGAGAGCCCCGUACGGCCGGACGUCGAGCCUCUGUAAAGCUCCCUCGACGAGUCGAGUAGUUUGGGAAUGCUGCUCUAAACGGGAGGUAAACCCCUUCUAAAGCUAAAUACCGGCCAGAGACCGAUAGCGCACAAGUAGAGUGAUCGAAAGAUGAAAAGCACUUUGAAAAGAGAGUUAAACAGCACGUGAAAUUGUUGAAAGGGAAGCGCUUGUGGCCAGACUUGCGCCCGGCGGCUCAGCCGUCCCUCGUGGGCGGUGCACUCCGCCGGGCUCAGGCCAGCAUCAGCUCGCUGCUGGGGAGAAAGGCGGUGGGAACGUGGCUCUUCGGAGUGUUAUAGCCCGCCGCCAUGCCCUCCAGCGGGCUGAGGUUCGCGCCUUAGGGCAAGGAUGCUGGCGUAAUGGCCAUCAGCGACCCGUCUUGAAACACGGACCAAGGAGUCGUCCUAGCAUGCGAGUGUUCGGGUGCCAAACCCCUACGCGAAAUGAAAGUGAACGGAGGUGAGAGCUUCGGCGCAUCAUCGACCGAUCCUGAUGUUUUCGGAUGGAUUUGAGUAGGAGCAUGCUGGGCCGGACCCGAAAGAAGGUGAACUAUGCUUGGAUAGGGCAAAGCCAGAGGAAACUCUGGUGGAGGCUCGCAGCGGUUCUGACGUGCAAAUCGAUCGUCAAAUCUGAGCAUGGGGGCGAAAGACUAAUCGAACCUUCUAGUAGCUGGUUUCCGCCGAAGUUUCCCUCAGGAUAGCAGUGUUGAGCUUCAGUUUUAUGAGGUAAAGCGAAUGAUUAGGGACUCGGGGGCGCUAUUUAGCCUUCAUCCAUUCUCAAACUUUAAAUAUGUAAGAAGCCCUCGUU